UACCAGAGAAAUCGCGGGCUAGUACUUAUAGUUAUGCAAAUGUUUUCUUAUUUCCUCGCAGUAGUCGUGAAAAGCACUAUGUAAUGCCUCGGCCGGAAACGCUAAAGAUGGACUCGUAUUAUUCGAGGGCCUCCACUAACGUGUCGGCCCUCGAACUCACUCGUCCAUCUUUUAGCGAUUUUCCGUCCUCUCCUACAAUGUACUAUACCGCCAUCAGAAAGGUUCAGCUCACUUCUCAUAUCGACAAAAUUACGUCAAAGGCAUAUAGAAUGUUAGGUUUUAUUUUCCGACAAAGUAAAAAUUUUAGUGAUCCUCGAACCAUUAUUUUACUUUAUAAUGCCUUUGUCAGAUCGCAUUUAGAAUUCGCUUCGGUCGUUUGGAGUCCUCAAUAUGCAGUGCAUAUUAAUGCCAUUGAAAAAAUCCAAAAUAAAUUUAUUAAAUGGUUGAAAUAUAGAUUCAAAUUGUUUGAUAGUGAUAACAUGGUAAGUCUCCAGCUGCGCAGGGAGCAAAAAGAUCAAAUUUUUCUGUUUAAAUUACUAAACCAUCUAAUCGAGUCGCAAUAUCUUAUUAGCAAUAUUUCAUAUAGAUGUCCUAAUUCCCGAACUAGAUCCAAAGCUUUAUUUGCCAUUCCAUUCUAGCAUGCUCUACGUAUAACUCUAAAUAUUCCAAUUUUGAUGUGUUCAACAUGAAGCUGGGUAAAUUUGUCACCUCAAUGAAAAA
Long non-coding RNA from Cydia fagiglandana, 720 nucleotides. RefSeq lists it as uncharacterized. The transcript is spliced from 2 exons. NCBI's taxonomy places the organism in Eukaryota, Metazoa, Arthropoda, Insecta, Lepidoptera, Tortricidae. The record is from RefSeq and is a predicted model, not a curated record.